This 304-nucleotide ribosomal RNA is filed under the name uncultured bacterium. RNAcentral's name for it is "partial 16S ribosomal RNA". It matches the Rfam family "Bacterial small subunit ribosomal RNA", at positions 506 to 807 of the family's 1533-position model. The record is from RNAcentral.
CAGCAGUAGCCGCGGGAAUACAGAGGGUGCGAGCGUUAAUCGGAUUUACUGGGCGUAAAGCGUGCGUAGGCGGCUUCUUAAGUCGGAUGUGAAAUCCCUGAGCUUAACUUAGGAAUUGCAUUCGAUACUGGGAAGCUAGAGUAUGGGAGAGGAUGGUAGAAUUCCAGGUGUAGCGGUGAAAUGCGUAGAGAUCUGGAGGAAUACCGAUGGCGAAGGCAGCCAUCUGGCCUAAUACUGACGCUGAGGUACGAAAGCAUGGGGAGCAAACAGGAUUAGAUACCCCAGUAGUCCCUGUCUCUUAUAC